AAUCCUCAACCCCUCCGAUUCGUUUCGGUGGGGAUUGGACUUGGAGCGUGCUGGCGAAGGUCGGCUCCUCUUUAAAUGCAUCAGCGGAGAAAAUGCCUUUUGCGCCUCUGGCCGUUCAGCGUGAUAAUGACGUUGCGCUGCGGUCGAGCUUAAGGUCCGCUUCCAAAGGUCCUCGGACGAUAUACGUAUGAC
This 192-nucleotide unclassified non-coding RNA is filed under the name uncultured Tylospora. RNAcentral's name for it is "sequence contains ITS2". The record is from RNAcentral. Lineage: Eukaryota; Fungi; Basidiomycota; Agaricomycetes; Atheliales; Atheliaceae. RNAcentral also lists the same sequence under 1 other name.